Molecule: long non-coding RNA, 1570 nt
Filed under: Marmota monax (woodchuck)
Lineage: Eukaryota; Metazoa; Chordata; Mammalia; Rodentia; Sciuridae
Source: RNAcentral
GUUGAGCGCGGUGUGAAAAGGGAGGAAUAUCGGCGGCCUCGGCACUUGUCUGCAGGUGAUGGCAGCUGGGUCUGCUCGUUGAGUCUCCUGCCCGGAGGCCCAGCUGCUUGAACGUUGUGAACGUUUGACGCACCCCUCGGGGGAGAUGGAGCGGGGGUAACGCAGCGCGCUGGUGCCCGGGGCGUCGGGAGUCGGGCCGGGUUCGAAUCCCCCUCGAGGGCAGAUGGGAGGUUUCAGGUGGACAGUACUGAAAAUUGGAGUUCGAGUUCGGGGACACCAGUGUUCGAGACUGGGCUCUGCCAGUCCGCUCCCGAGGUGAUGUUUUCUUGCCCAGGGAAGGGGCGACAGUGAAAAUUCACCGCAGGCUUCAUGACUGCAUAAUGCGACCAGAAACGGGGCUGCACCGGACCGCCGCCCCCUGCCAGGCUCCCCACGGGUGACCAGUGGCCAAGUACGCCAAUAUUACAUUUUUUUUUAGUAAUCACAUAUUUUUAUUUUAAAAAAUAUUCUUGAUAUUUAUAUAUACACAUAAAUAUGUUGUUGAUAGACCUUUAUUUUGCUCCUACCCGGUGCUGAGAGUGGAGCCCCGGGCCUCCCACGUGCAAGGCAAGCGCUGCACCACGGAGCCACCCCCUCAGCCCCAGUAAUCACAUAUGUGUACAAGGAAAGAAAAGGGUCAGGUGAAAUUCGUACUUUAUUUAAUCCAGUAUCACCAAAAUGUGAUUUCAGCGUGUGAUCAGUAUUAAACAAUGUUGAUGAAGAUGUCUUGCAUCCUUUUACUCAAGGGGAAGUCUUUGAGAUCCCAUGUGUCCUCCUUUUUUUUUUGUUUGUUUUGGAAUUCAACCACUGAGCUAGAUCCCCAGCCCUUUUUAUUUUUUAUUUUGAGACAGGGCCUAUCACUACAUAGCUUAGGGCCUUUGCUACAUUGCUGAAGCUGGCCUCCAACUCUAGCGUCACAACCACUCCCCAGUUCCGUGUGUCUUUUAUAUCAAAACUGUAAUCAGGCAUGUGAAUCUCCAUUUUCAUUGGAAAUAGUGGCUUUUUAGGUUUCAUAAAAUUUACAGUUGAAAAUGUAAUGUGCCCCAGCUGUUCCCAACAUAACUUAGAAAGUCUUCUGUGAGCUCAAAUUGAAUGUAGGUUUUUAUAAUUUAAAUUUCAAUUAGUUAGGAUUCUAAGUGUAGUUGAAAGUUUCAUUUUACAGUUUCACUAGCCCCAGUUGGGUGCUCAUGAGCCCCUUUGAGGAGUGGACAGUGCUGAUCUGAGUCACUCCCGGGAUGAGACAUGGUCUUCAGGACCUUGCUUCCCAUUCACCACCUGGCCCCAACUUCAAAUCAGCCAAACUAACCUUUUUGUUAAAAAUCUGACAAGGCAGGGCCAGGGGCAUAUCUCAGUGGUAGACCAUAAAAUAAAUAGUUAUAAAUCGGACAGACCACUCCCAAUGCAGAGCCUCUACCCAGAACCUCUUCUCCCAGCUGUUAGCCUUUUCAUUUAGGCCUCUCUGAUCAGAGGUCCACUUCCCAGAGUACCCCCUAAACCUUGUCUCCUUACAGGGUGUAAACCUCAGCAGCAC